Alosa alosa (allis shad) is the source of this 677-nucleotide long non-coding RNA. RefSeq lists it as uncharacterized. NCBI's taxonomy places the organism in Eukaryota, Metazoa, Chordata, Actinopteri, Clupeiformes, Clupeidae. The transcript is spliced from 5 exons. The record is from RefSeq and is a predicted model, not a curated record.
CGCAUCACCUUACAGACUGCUAUCAGAGACAGCCCGCUGAUCCAGCAGCCCACUGACGGACCAACCUGUUGACCAAUCACAUAUCAGACAGACCUCCUCUGGAGUCUCAACCCAUCUAUCUUCAGAACUUACAUCUUCUACUGUGGACUGGUGAAAAAGCAUGGCUCAAAAACUUGCUCUGGUCAUUGUGAUUUUUCUGGUGGUUGGUCAGUUUGUUGGGCAAACAUCUGCAGAUAAUGAAGGCCCAGCAGAGGAUCUGGCCUAUAAGGAGCACCCACUUGCAAAGCGUAUGUUAAAAGCUGCAGGUACAGCAGUAGUAAAAGCUGCCAAACAAACAAUUGGUGGAACACUUGGUGGAGCAGUUGCUGGAGGAGGCGUAGGAGCAGUUAGUGGAGCAAUCCAUGAAGGACCCAAUGGUUCAGUUGAAAACAUAUUUAAACAGGCAGUUAAAGGAGCAAUUCUUGGAGGUGCUGCUGGAGGAGUUGGUGCAGGAUUUAAAGGAGCAACUGCUAUUAAAGAAGCAGGUAAAAUAGGAGUGAAAGCAGGAUUUGGAGCAACCUUUGUAGGAGAAGCUCAAAAAUUUGGUGACACAUACAUUGAUGGCAAAGAUAAAAAACCAUGAUGAUAUGUCCACUUAUAGCUGUGAACUUGCAGUAUCAAGUGUUUAUGUAAUAAAG